CACACCCUCUCAGUCGGGCUGUCCAUCAGAGGCAGCCAGUAACUGUCACUUUGGGUGGGUGUCGGAAAUUCCUUCACCGGCCACCUGAUCCAUAUCAUCAAUCGAGACAUCUAAUACCUGAGUUUACUUACCAGUUCCUGGUUCCAGUAACUUUCCUAUAUCAUCGAUUCCAGGUCCUGUGUUCCUCCUGUCCCUAGCAGCCGCUGGAAGGCAGUUGCAGGUCCAGGAUUUAAUGCACCCUAGCAGCAAAAGGACAGACAGUUACUUACCAUCAGAAGCUGUGUUCAUAUCCAGUUAAUCCAUUCAUCUCUCAAGGAUCCAGAGGAGACCCACAAGGAAAAAAAAGAUGCAUGACACCACCAUUGCCACUGCUGUUUGCUGAAUGAGUUCCAAGAUUCUCAUCUCAAAGGAAUUACUAGGUUCUUAAUUUAGCUGUGUUCAAGAGCCAGCUAGACACAAAGAACAACUUUUAAUUCUCCUCCUAAGGGGAAAACAGGAUGGCAUACAGAAGAGUCAUUGCAAAGCUGAGCUUCCAGUUGCUGCCAAUAAGUACUUUUUUCUGCUGUAAUAGAGCUACUUUGGAACUGUUUCAAAGAACAGACCUUCAUCUCUGCUGUUUCCAGAGAACCCCAGAAUAAGAUACUGGAAUUAAGAAGUGAGGUGUGACUGGCAAAUGUUUAUCUACAUGCAGCAAUAACUAUGGAACUGUUGAGAUUAUUUCUGCCAUCAUUGCUACAAUUUCUGCUCUUUGCAACUACUAAAGAAGCUGUUCAGUCAGCAGAGAGGAUCAUCUUCUGAACAACCAACUAGAGGAACUAUUUUAUAAGAAAUUCAAUAAUAGCUAGGUACUAUAAGUCUCUGAUUCUUUUAGAUAUAAAAUAGGUUUGGUUUCUCCUAAAAUAAUCUUCAACACAGCUAAUUGAACAAAAACAAAAAAGCAAGCAGAUUUUUGAUUAAGGAUUAAAUUUUAGGAUACAGGAAAUAAGAGGUAGGGACAAUUUCUGAGCAGGUUUUAAUCACAGUUUAGAAAACAGUGCUGACUAUGGUUCAUCUAAGACUACUUUUGCAGGAAAGCUACAUCCAGUGCCAGUUCCACUGGGCCUGCUGCAGAUACCUGUUUUCAGCAGGUAAUUUUCUUAGUACAGGCAAAACUUGGAUAUUUUUUAGAAGAUUCUGCAUUUGGGUCUGAAUGAUCUUUCCCUCCUGCCCACUUUCUCUUAGAGAUAGUUAAAUAAUGGAAACUUUAUUUGGAAAAAAAAGCUAAAUUUUUCAGUCAGUUAUUCAACCAGCUCUGCUCCAUACAAAGCAUGAAUUGAACUGGGGACUGUAUUAUCCUUGGGGUGGAAUUUCUUCAGGGCCAAUGUUGGAAUGAUAUGUCCCCUGCAACCUUACCUAUUCCUUCCCAUCCUGUCUUCUCUCCCCAUAUGGUUCCCUGGACACAUGAAGAGAACCCUGCAGAAUCCAAGCAAAGAUCAAAUGUUGUCUUAAAACUGGCCACUUUCUUUCAUUUGGAAGGAGGUGAUUUUUGCAUGGAGGAGCCCCUCCACACACACACAUCUUGGUGGUUUGAUCUAGUCCUUCUGUGUUUAAUUUGUUUGGUAUUGGACUAGCAAAUAUUUUGACUUUUUCACUGUUAUCCCACAUUCUCAGAUUCCCUGUGUUUCAAAAAUUUGAGCACUUCCAGGAUUUUUCCUUAUUUUGGCUACUUCUGAUGGAAAAAAUGAUAACAUGAAAUGGUAGAGCAUGGAAGUAAAUGUAGACUGAUAAUAGUGCCCACUCACAAAUGAGCAUUCUGUAUAUGUGUGUGCUGCUUAUGCUGUGCAGACAUGCUCCUGCACUGGGUUUUGGGGAGCUCACUCACCAAAGACAUGAGAUUUAGCUCCCCACUUUCUCCAGAAGAGAGUGGCUGUUGUAUUAAUUUAGAUGGCAUAUAAGGGUCAAA
This is a long non-coding RNA of Mauremys reevesii (Reeves's turtle), 1942 nucleotides long. RefSeq lists it as uncharacterized. The transcript has 4 exons. The record is from RefSeq and is a predicted model, not a curated record. Lineage: Eukaryota; Metazoa; Chordata; Testudines; Geoemydidae.